ACUGGGAGGAAAGAGAGAAUUUUCUUAGGAUUCUGGAUUCAGAGAAACAUAAGCCUGCUGUGAAUCACUGGGAAGAAAGACUUGGAUGAAAACUUUAUGCAACACAUACUUCUUGCUGCCCUGGUCUUUCUCAUAGCCCCUCAACCUAAGAACUAGUCGGAGAGGUCUCUCUUGAAAUUAAAAUGAUUUAGGGUAAUGUACAUAAAGAAUCCAAUGUGAAAAUUGCAAAGAAAACUAUAGAGGAAAAGAGUUAGAAGGAAAGAAGAGAUGGCUGGAAGCAUGGAGAGAAAACAACAUGAG
This is a long non-coding RNA of Symphalangus syndactylus (siamang), 300 nucleotides long. RefSeq lists it as uncharacterized. Lineage: Eukaryota; Metazoa; Chordata; Mammalia; Primates; Hylobatidae. The record is from RefSeq and is a predicted model, not a curated record.